Molecule: non-coding RNA, 72 nt
Organism: Ornithorhynchus anatinus (platypus)
Lineage: Eukaryota; Metazoa; Chordata; Mammalia; Monotremata; Ornithorhynchidae
Source: Rfam
AGCAGUGUGGCUUAAUGGAAAGAGAACUGGCCUGGGAAUCAGAGGACCUGGGCUCUAAUCCCAGCUCUGCCA